AGAGUAGGCGUGAUGCGUUAAGUGCCUUGGGAUGGGAGGUCGCCCAAGGACGAAGGAGGGAUUCCCUCUGCGGUGUCACGUCGCAGCCGCU
Molecule: non-coding RNA, 91 nt
Filed under: human gut metagenome
Description: THF riboswitch
Rfam family: THF (Tetrahydrofolate) riboswitch aptamer
About the family: THF riboswitch presents a pseudoknot that joins P1-P2 and the loop of P3 and two THF binding.
Source: RNAcentral